AUAAGUGCAGUCACAGACUAAAUCCGUUUUGCCACAGAACGCAUGGAACCCAGGCAGAAGCGAUGACAGCUUCCCUAAUGGGACACUGGCAACAUGCCUCAAGCCUGACUUGGAAGGACCCCCGUGACAGCUGAAAGCACAGUUCAGUCUCCAGGGCCCACUCAAUCCAUGGCCAUC
This 177-nucleotide small RNA is filed under the name Gopherus agassizii (Agassiz's desert tortoise). Its description in RNAcentral is "TUC338 (ENSGAGG00000001810.1)". The record is from RNAcentral. Lineage: Eukaryota; Metazoa; Chordata; Testudines; Testudinidae.